AUUGAACGCUGGCGGCAGGCCUAACGCAUGCAAGUCGAGCGGAUGAAGGGAGCUUGCUCCUGGAUUCAGCGGCGGACGGGUGAGUAAUGCCUAGGAAUCUGCCUGGUAGUGGGGGAUAACGUCCGGAAACGGGCGCUAAUACCGCAUACGUCCUGAGGGAGAAAGUGGGGGAUCUUCGGACCUCACGCUAUCAGAUGAGCCUAGGUCGGAUUAGCUAGUUGGUGGGGUAAAGGCCUACCAAGGCGACGAUCCGUAACUGGUCUGAGAGGAUGAUCAGUCACACUGGAACUGAGACACGGUCCAGACUCCUACGGGAGGCAGCAGUGGGGAAUAUUGGACAAUGGGCGAAAGCCUGAUCCAGCCAUGCCGCGUGUGUGAAGAAGGUCUUCGGAUUGUAAAGCACUUAAAGUUGGGAGGAAGGGCAGUAAGUUAAUACCUUGCUGUUUUGACGUUACCAACAGAAUAAGCACCGGCUAACUUCGUG
This 484-nucleotide ribosomal RNA is filed under the name uncultured bacterium. RNAcentral describes it as "partial 16S ribosomal RNA". It matches the Rfam family "Bacterial small subunit ribosomal RNA", at positions 30 to 507 of the family's 1533-position model. The record is from RNAcentral.